This 229-nucleotide ribosomal RNA is filed under the name uncultured bacterium. Its description in RNAcentral is "partial 16S ribosomal RNA". It matches the Rfam family "Bacterial small subunit ribosomal RNA", at positions 118 to 347 of the family's 1533-position model. The record is from RNAcentral.
UGGGCAACCUGCCCUCAGCUCUGGGAUAACUCCGGGAAACCGGGGCUAAUACCGGAUAUGACCGCUGACCGCAUGGUCUGGUGGUGGAAAGAUUUAUCGGCUGGGGAUGGGCCCGCGGCCUAUCAGCUUGUUGGUGGGGUAGUGGCCUACCAAGGCGACGACGGGUAGCCGGCCUGAGAGGGUGACCGGCCACACUGGGACUGAGACACGGCCCAGACUCCUACGGGAG